GAUGAACGCUGGCGGCGUGCCUAAUACAUGCAAGUCGAGCGAACAGAUGAGGAGCUUGCUCCUCUGACGUUAGCGGCGGACGGGUGAGUAACACGUGGAUAACCUACCUAUAAGACUGGGAUAACUUCGGGAAACCGGAGCUAAUACCGGAUAAUAUAUUGAACCGCAUGGUUCAAUAGUGAAAGACGGUUUUGCUGUCACUUAUAGAUGGAUCCGCGCCGCAUUAGCUAGUUGGUAAGGUAACGGCUUACCAAGGCAACGAUGCGUAGCCGACCUGAGAGGGUGAUCGGCCCCACUGGAACUGAGACACGGUCCAGACUCCUACGGGAGGCAGCAGGAGGGAAUCUUCCGCAAAGGGCGAAAGCCUGACGGAGCAACGCCGCGUGAGUGAUGAAGGUCUUCGGAUCGUAAAACUCUGUUAUUAGGGAAGAACAAAUGUGUAAGUAACUAUGCACGUCUUGACGGUACCUAAUCAGAAAGCCACGGCUAACUACGUG
Molecule: ribosomal RNA, 497 nt
Filed under: uncultured bacterium
Lineage: Bacteria
Description: partial 16S ribosomal RNA
Rfam family: Bacterial small subunit ribosomal RNA
Source: RNAcentral